AGUGAACGCUGGCGGUAGGCCUAACACAUGCAAGUCGAACGGUAGCACAGUAAGAGCUUGCUCUUACGGGUGGCGAGUGGCGGACGGGUGAGGAAUACAUCGGAAUCUACUUUUUCGUGGGGGAUAACGUAGGGAAACUUACGCUAAUACCGCAUACGACCUACGGGUGAAAGCAGGGGAUCUUCGGACCUUGCGCGAUUGAAUGAGCCGAUGUCGGAUUAGCUAGUUGGCGGGGUAAAGGCCCACCAAGGCGACGAUCCGUAGCUGGUCUGAGAGGAUGAUCAGCCACACUGGAGCUGAGACACGGUCCAGACUCCUACGGGAGGCAGCAGUGGGGAAUAUUGGACAAUGGGCGCAAGCCUGAUCCAGCCAUACCGCGUGGGUGAAGAAGGCCUUCGGGUUGUAAAGCCCUUUUGUUGGGAAAGAAAAGCAGCAGGUUAAUACCCCGCUGUUCUGACGGUACCCAAAGAAUAAGCACCGGCUAACUUCGUG
RNAcentral lists this ribosomal RNA (492 nucleotides) under uncultured bacterium. RNAcentral describes it as "partial 16S ribosomal RNA". It matches the Rfam family "Bacterial small subunit ribosomal RNA", at positions 29 to 507 of the family's 1533-position model. The record is from RNAcentral.